AGUGAACGCUGGCGGCAUGCCUAAUACAUGCAAGUCGAACGGCCGCACAGUAAGCUUUCGCCUCUACGGGUGGCGACUGGCGGAUGGGUGAGGCAUACAUCGCCUUCCUCUUAUUCUUGGGUGACUUCGUGGGGACAGUGCUGCUAACGGCGCAUAUGUUGUACCGGUUGAUUCAGGGGUGCUAGACAGUCUUCGUGUCUCUAAUAGACGAUGUCGGAUUAGCUAGUUGGCGGGGUAAAGGCCCACCAAGGCGACGAUCCGUAGCUGGUCUGAGAGGACGAUCAGCCACACUGGAACUGAGACACGGUCCAGACUCCUACGGGAGGCAGCAGUGGGGAAUAUUGGACAAUGGGCGCAAGCCUGAUCCAGCCAUACCGCGUGGGUGAAGAAGGCCUUCGGGUUGUAAAGCCCUUUUGUUGGGAAAGAAAAGCAGCAGGUUAAUACCCCGCUGUUCUGACGGUACCCAAAGAAUAAGCACCGGCUAACUUCGUG
RNAcentral lists this ribosomal RNA (492 nucleotides) under uncultured bacterium. RNAcentral's name for it is "partial 16S ribosomal RNA". It matches the Rfam family "Bacterial small subunit ribosomal RNA", at positions 29 to 507 of the family's 1533-position model. The record is from RNAcentral.